CAAAGUCGAGCGCCCCGCAAGGGGAGCGGCAGACGGGUGAGUAACGCGUGGGAAUGUACCCUUUGCUACGGGAUAGCUCCGGGAAACUGGAAUUAAUACCGUAUGUGCCCUUCGGGGGAAAGAUUUAUCGGCAAGGGAUCAGCCCGCGUUGGAUUAGCUAGUUGGUGGGGUAAAAGCCUACCAAGGCGACGAUCCAUAGCUGGUCUGAGAGGAUGAUCAGCCACAUUGGGACUGAGACACGGCCCAAACUCCUACGGGAGGCAGCAGUGGGGAAUAUUGGACAAUGGGCGCAAGCCUGAUCCAGCCAUGCCGCGUGUGUGAUGAAGGCCUUAGGGUUGUAAAGCACUUUCACCGAUGAAGAUAAUGACGGUAGUCGGAGAAGAAGCCCCGGCUAACUUCGUGCCAGCAGCCGCGGUAAUACGAAGGGGGCUAGCGUUGUUCGGAAUUACUGGGCGUAAAGCGCACGUAGGCGGAUAUUUAAGUCAGGGGUGAAAUCCCAGAGCUCAACUCUGGAACUGCCUUUGAUACUGGGUAUCUUGAGUAUGGAAGAGGUAAG
RNAcentral lists this ribosomal RNA (556 nucleotides) under uncultured bacterium. Its description in RNAcentral is "bacterial SSU rRNA". It matches the Rfam family "Bacterial small subunit ribosomal RNA", at positions 58 to 661 of the family's 1533-position model. The record is from RNAcentral.